This 400-nucleotide ribosomal RNA is filed under the name uncultured bacterium. Its description in RNAcentral is "bacterial SSU rRNA". It matches the Rfam family "Bacterial small subunit ribosomal RNA", at positions 359 to 776 of the family's 1533-position model. The record is from RNAcentral.
GAAUAUUGGACAAUGGAGGAAACUCUGAUCCAGCCAUGCCGCGUGAGUGAUGAAGGCCUUCGGGUUGUAAAGCUCUUUUAGAUGUGACGAUGAUGACGGUAACAUCAGAAAAAGCCCCGGCUAACUUCGUGCCAGCAGCCGCGGUAAUACGAAGGGGGCGAGCGUUGUUCGGAAUCACUGGGCUUAAAGCGUACGUAGGCGGCUUUACAAGUCAGAAGUGAAAUCCCAGGGCUUAACCCUGGAAUUGCUUUUGAAACUGUAAGUCUGGAAUCCGGUAGAGGUUGGCGGAACUCCGAGUGUAGAGGUGAAAUUCGCAGAUAUUCGGAAGAACACCAGUGGCGAAGGCGGCCAACUGGACCGGUAUUGACGCUGAGGUACGAAAGCGUGGGUAGCAAACAGG